AAAAAACACUAGCUAAAGGAAAUUAUCAUCUUUUCUUUCUCUUUUAAUUACUUGUCCGAGUCAGUUUCCUUAGACUGGAGAAAGUUAUUAGGACUUUGCAGUUGAAAGAUGGAGGCCAUCAAAGGGAGUCUUACCACAAGUUGUCUGCAGAUCCAACUGGUGCUGUCAUUGGUCAUGUGGACUCUGCACUUUGGUGCCAGGAAUGUGUUCUCUCUGGAACUGGGGAAUGGAUAAAGAAGAUGCAAUAUAUAUAUAAAGAAAUAUUACUCUGCCAUGAGAAAGACAGAAAUCCUGCCAUUUCUGACAACUAGAG
Molecule: long non-coding RNA, 313 nt
Filed under: Mustela putorius furo (domestic ferret)
Lineage: Eukaryota; Metazoa; Chordata; Mammalia; Carnivora; Mustelidae
Description: lncRNA (ENSMPUG00000028103.1)
Source: RNAcentral